RNAcentral lists this unclassified non-coding RNA (198 nucleotides) under Ascomycota sp. RNAcentral describes it as "partial contains small subunit ribosomal RNA, internal transcribed spacer 1, and 5.8S ribosomal RNA". The stretch from base 1 to 47 matches the Rfam family "Eukaryotic small subunit ribosomal RNA", at positions 1785 to 1831 of the family's 1831-position model. The record is from RNAcentral. Lineage: Eukaryota; Fungi; Ascomycota.
AAAGUCGUAACAAGGUCUCCGUAGGUGAACCUGCGGAGGGAUCAUUAACGAAUGGUCUCUGUACCUUCAACCCCUCAAACCUGUGGACGUUUAAAAACGUGCUUCGGUGCUUCUGGCGCCGCCUAUACGCUUGAAUCAGUCGGACGUCUGAAUUAAACAUUUGAAUCAAAACUUUCAACAAAGGAUCUCUUGGCUCUC